UUAAGCGACUAAGCGUACACGGUGGAUGCCCUGGCAGUCAGAGGCGAUGAAGGACGUGCUAAUCUGCGAAAAGCGUCGGUAAGGUGAUAUGAACCGUUACAGCCGGCGAUGUCCGAAUGGGGAAACCCAGUGCAAUUCGUUGCACUAUCGUUAACUGAAUACAUAGGUUAACGAGGCGAACCGGGGGAACUGAAACAUCUAAGUACCCCGAGGAAAAGAAAUCAACCGAGAUUCCCCCAGUAGCGGCGAGCGAACGGGGAGCAGCCCGGAGUCUGAAUCAGCUUGUGUGUUAGUGGAAGCGUCUGGAAAGUCGCAGGGUACAGGGUGAUACUCCCGUACACUAAAACACACAGGCUGUGAACUCGAAGAGUAGGGCGGGACACGUGGUAUCCUGUCUGAAUAUGGGGGGACCAUCCUCCAAGGCUAAAUACUCCUGACUGACCGAUAGUGAACCAGUACCGUGAGGGAAAGGCGAAAAGAACCCCGGCGAGGGGAGUGAAAAAGAACCUGAAACCGUGUACGUACAAGCAGUAGGAGCCCACUAGUUGGGUGACUGCGUACCUUUUGUAUAAUGGGUCAGCGACUUAUAUUCUGUAGCAAGGUUAACCGAAUAGGGGAGCCGCAGGGAAACCGAGUCUUAACUGGGCGUUAAGUUGCAGGGUAUAGACCCGAAACCCGGUGAUCUAGCCAUGGGCAGGUUGAAGGUUGGGUAACACUAACUGGAGGACCGAACCGACUAAUGUUGAAAAAUUAGCGGAUGACUUGUGGCUGGGGGUGAAAGGCCAAUCAAACCGGGAGAUAGCUGGUUCUCCCCGAAAGCUAUUUAGGUAGCGCCUCGUGAAUUCAUCUUCGGGGGUAGAGCACUGUUUCGGCUAGGGGGUCAUCCCGACUUACCAACCCGAUGCAAACUACGAAUACCGAAGAAUGUUAUCACGGGAGACACACGGCGGGUGCUAACGUCCGUCGUGAAGAGGGAAACAACCCAGACCGCCAGCUAAGGUCCCAAAGUCAUGGUUAAGUGGGAAACGAUGUGGGAAGGCCCAGACAGCCAGGAUGUUGGCUUAGAAGCAGCCAUCAUUUAAAGAAAGCGUAAUAGCUCACUGGUCGAGUCGGCCUGCGCGGAAGAUGUAACGGGGCUAAACCAUGCACCGAAGCUGCGGCAGCGACGCUUAUGCGUUGUUGGGUAGGGGAGCGUUCUGUAAGCCGUUGAAGGUGGCCUGUGAGGGUUGCUGGAGGUAUCAGAAGUGCGAAUGCUGACAUAAGUAACGAUAAUGCGGGUGAAAAACCCGCACGCCGGAAGACCAAGGGUUCCUGUCCAACGUUAAUCGGGGCAGGGUGAGUCGACCCCUAAGGCGAGGCCGAAAGGCGUAGUCGAUGGGAAACAGGUUAAUAUUCCUGUACUUGGUGUUACUGCGAAGGGGGGACGGAGAAGGCUAUGUUGGCCGGGCGACGGUUGUCCCGGUUUAAGCAUGUAGGCGGAUGUUCCAGGUAAAUCCGGAACGUUACUAACGCUGAGGUGUGAUGACGAGGCACUACGGUGCUGAAGUGACAAAUGCCCUGCUUCCAGGAAAAGCCUCUAAGCAUCAGGUAACAUCAAAUCGUACCCCAAACCGACACAGGUGGUCAGGUAGAGAAUACCAAGGCGCUUGAGAGAACUCGGGUGAAGGAACUAGGCAAAAUGGUGCCGUAACUUCGGGAGAAGGCACGCUGAUGGUAGGUGAAGUGACUUGCUCAUGGAGCUGAAAUCAGUCGAAGAUACCAGCUGGCUGCAACUGUUUAUUAAAAACACAGCACUGUGCAAACACGAAAGUGGACGUAUACGGUGUGACGCCUGCCCGGUGCCGGAAGGUUAAUUGAUGGGGUUAUCCUCACGGAGAAGCUCUUGAUCGAAGCCCCGGUAAACGGCGGCCGUAACUAUAACGGUCCUAAGGUAGCGAAAUUCCUUGUCGGGUAAGUUCCGACCUGCACGAAUGGCGUAAUGAUGGCCAGGCUGUCUCCACCCGAGACUCAGUGAAAUUGAACUCGCUGUGAAGAUGCAGUGUACCCGCGGCAAGACGGAAAGACCCCGUGAACCUUUACUAUAGCUUGACACUGAACACUGGUCCUUGAUGUGUAGGAUAGGUGGGAGGCUUUGAAGUGUGGACGCCAGUCUGCAUGGAGCCGUCCUUGAAAUACCACCCUUUAAUGGCUGGUGUUCUAACGUGGGCCCGUAAUCCGGGUUGCGGACAGUGUCUGGUGGGUAGUUUGACUGGGGCGGUCUCCUCCUAAAGAGUAACGGAGGAGCACGAAGGUCAGCUAAUCCUGGUCGGACAUCAGGAGGUUAGUGCAAUGGCAUAAGCUGGCUUGACUGCGAGCGUGACGGCGCGAGCAGGUGCGAAAGCAGGUCAUAGUGAUCCGGUGGUUCUGAAUGGAAGGGCCAUCGCUCAACGGAUAAAAGGUACUCCGGGGAUAACAGGCUGAUACCGCCCAAGAGUUCAUAUCGACGGCGGUGUUUGGCACCUCGAUGUCGGCUCAUCACAUCCUGGGGCUGAAGUAGGUCCCAAGGGUAUGGCUGUUCGCCAUUUAAAGUGGUACGCGAGCUGGGUUUAGAACGUCGUGAGACAGUUCGGUCCCUAUCUGCCGUGGGCGCUGGAGAAUUGAGGGGGGCUGCUCCUAGUACGAGAGGACCGGAGUGGACGCAUCACUGGUGUUCGGGUUGUCAUGCCAAUGGCAUUGCCCGGUAGCUAAAUGCGGAAGAGAUAAGUGCUGAAAGCAUCUAAGCACGAAACUUGCCCCGAGAUGAGUUCUCCCUGACCCUUUAAGGGUCCUGAAGGAACGUUGAAGACGACGACGUUGAUAGGCCGGGUGUGUAAGCGCAGCGAUGCGUUGAGCUAACCGGUACUAAUGAACCGUGAGGCUUAACCUU
This 2905-nucleotide ribosomal RNA is filed under the name Klebsiella oxytoca. Its description in RNAcentral is "23S ribosomal RNA". It matches the Rfam family "Bacterial large subunit ribosomal RNA". The record is from RNAcentral. Lineage: Bacteria; Pseudomonadati; Pseudomonadota; Gammaproteobacteria; Enterobacterales; Enterobacteriaceae.